GACGAACGCUGGCGGCGUGCUUAACACAUGCAAGUCGAACGGUGAAGCGCCUUCCUUUUUGGUGGGUGUGGAUGAGUGGCGAACGGGUGAGCAACACGAGAGUAACCCUCUCCCUUCUUCAGGAUAACCGCAUGAAAGUGUUGAUAAUACAGGAUAUUCUGGGUCUGUCGGAUGAUGGGUCAGGGACAGUUCUUGUGUCGGUUGGGGAUGGGCCCGCGCCGUAUCAGCUUGUUGGUGUGGUGAUGGCCUACCAAGGCGGUGACGGGUAGCCGGCCUGAGAGGGUGGGCGGACCCGGAACGGAGGGAACGCGACGCAGACUACGCUGGGACGCAGCAGUGCAGAGUAGGGCACAGUGGGAGGAAGGCUGGUGCAGCGACGCCGCGUGGGGGAAGGUGUCCUGCGGGUUGUGAUCCGCUUUCGCCAGUGAAGCAGGCCUGCCUCGUUUGUGGGUGGGUUGACGGUAGCUGGUAAAGAAGCGCCGGCUAACUACGUG
Molecule: ribosomal RNA, 494 nt
Filed under: uncultured bacterium
Lineage: Bacteria
Description: partial 16S ribosomal RNA
Rfam family: Bacterial small subunit ribosomal RNA
Source: RNAcentral